RNAcentral lists this long non-coding RNA (1430 nucleotides) under Setaria viridis. RNAcentral's name for it is "long non-coding RNA (SVIR_LNC007289)". The record is from RNAcentral. Lineage: Eukaryota; Viridiplantae; Streptophyta; Magnoliopsida; Poales; Poaceae.
CACGGUAUUACAUAUGUCGGAACUUCCGACACUGUGUUGGAACUUCGAUAGGGUCGGAACUUUCAAUAAGGGGCUGAACAUCCUAAGGUAAGCAGAAUAUAUUUGAAUCAAAAGUUCAACAAUAAAGUAUGGAGACUACUGUAGAUGAUCUCUACAAGAGAAAGUACAGAGGCUACUCAAAGAUGGGGUCACACACCUCAAAUCUUGCUCUCACCCAAGCCCUAGCUUAAAUCUCUCAAGGAUUAGCUCAAGGAGAGGGAGUGGAGAGCAGUAUUGAAUGCUCUUGGAGGUGUUUGGCAUGAGGUAGGUCAGUAGCCAAUGAAGAAGGGGGUGAGGGGGUAUAAAUACCCGACCCCCACAAACUAGCCGUUACUGUGCUAGUCAUGUGCCUGUCGGAACUUCCAACAGUAUGAAAAUAAAAUACGCUGAGCAUCCCCUAUCGGAAAUUACCCAAGACUUCCGAUAUGUGUCAGAACUUUUGACCCCAUGUCAGAUUUUCCAACACACGGAGAAACUAUGAGAAACAACAAGUGUAAGUGCAAGAAUGUGGUGUCUCUCAUGGGUAGUUGGCAUCACAAAUGAGCACUUUGACAUCUUCAAGCUAAUUAGCCGCGUCCCCCUUUAUAGUAGAGUGUUCCUAUACUCAAAUUCAAAAAUAGAAAAUUAUAACAAGAUAUUCUUUUAUGCUCCAGCACCGUUAUCAAAUCAAUUUGGGGUCCUACAUUGCACCUUUGUGCUUCUAUUGCCUUUGUGCCUAUCAAAUUCUCAAUAAACUCAUUCGUCCCUUAGUUAUGUAUGUCAUCAACAUCAAAACCCACUUAGGGGGUCAUAUGCACUUUUAAUUUGAUAAAAUUAUGGAAACAUUUAGUGUGUCAAUGUGUCAUGUGAUGUAUAUUUUCUAUGUUUUACAAAAUGUCUUAAACUUUUUGUUAUAUAAAUAAUCAUUCCUUAGAUCCGAUGUAAACGCAUCAUCGUUGCCUUUGUGCGGAUGCCAAAGGGGUUUUAGGGACUCUGGGUUUCAGCUUUCAGAAAGAAUUUUAGCAAGCAGACAAGACUGGCGUAGGAGUGGGGACACCGCACAUGGCCAUGGGUAGUGGAGGAUGUACGGUUGGCAACACGGGAGCAUUCUUGAAACCAAGAUGUGUAGCAAGUAGAGGGUGGUGAGGACAUUGUUGGGAUGAGGCGAGGUCGAUAAGAUGAGGUUGCUAAUACGACAAGGUCGUUGUAUCGAGCUAAAUCAAAGAAAGAAGACUGAGGUUAAUCAUCAAUUGAGUAAAGCAUCAAUUUCAUGGUUCAUCCAAUUGACAAAUAGCGUUACCCAGGCUAUUAGUCUUCAAUAAGGCUGAACGGUACCAACUCAGCUAGGUACUCCCUCCAUCCCAAAUUACUAUUCAUUUUGGUUUUUCUAGGUACAUAGUCUUUGAUAUGCA